UUAGCCCUAAACACAGAUAAUUACAUAAACAAAAUUAUUCGCCAGAGUACUACUAGCAACAGCUUAAAACUCAAAGGACUUGGCGGUGCUUUAUAUCCUUCUAGAGGAGCCUGUUCUAUAAUCGAUAAACCCCGAUAAACCUCACCAAUUCUUGCUAAUACAGUCUAUAUACCGCCAUCUUCAGCAAACCCUAAAAAGGAAAAAAAGUAAGCGUAAUUAUGAUACAUAAAAACGUUAGGUCAAGGUGUAACCUAUGAAAUGGGAAGAAAUGGGCUACAUUCUCUACACCAAGAGAAUCAAGCACGAAAGUUAUUAUNAAACCAAUAACCNAAGGAGGAUUUAGCAGNAA
RNAcentral lists this ribosomal RNA (349 nucleotides) under Bos taurus (domestic cattle). RNAcentral describes it as "partial small subunit ribosomal RNA". It matches the Rfam family "Bacterial small subunit ribosomal RNA", at positions 796 to 1341 of the family's 1533-position model. The record is from RNAcentral. Lineage: Eukaryota; Metazoa; Chordata; Mammalia; Artiodactyla; Bovidae.